Molecule: ribosomal RNA, 256 nt
Filed under: uncultured bacterium
Lineage: Bacteria
Description: partial 16S ribosomal RNA
Rfam family: Bacterial small subunit ribosomal RNA
Source: RNAcentral
UACGUAGGGGGGCUAGCGUUGUCCGGAAUCAUUGGGCGUAAAGAGCGUGUAGGCGGUCCGGUAAGUCCGCUGUGAAAGUCGGGGGCUCAACCCUCGAAUGCCGGUGGAUACUGUCGGGCUAGAGUCGCGGAAGAGGCGAGUGGAAUUCCUGGUGUAGCGGUGAAAUGCGCAGACUAUCAGGAGGAACACCUAUUGCGAAGGCAGCUCGCUGGGACGUAACUGACGCUGAGACGCGAAAGCGUGGGGAGCAAACAGG